CCUACGGGUGGCAGCAGUGAGGAAUAUUGGUCAAUGGGCGCGAGCCUGAACCAGCCAAGUAGCGUGAAGGAUGACUGCCCUACGGGUUGUAAACUUCUUUUAUAAAGGAGUAAAGUGAGGCACGUGUGCCUUUUUUUAUGUACUUUAUGAAUAAGGAUCGGCUAACUCCGUUCCAGCAGCGGCGGUAAUACGGAGGAUCCGAGCGUUAUCCGGAUUUGUUGGGUUUAAAGGGAGCGUAGAUGGGUUGUUAAGUCAGGUGUGAAAGUUUGCGGCUCAACCGGAAAAUUGCAAUUGAUACUGGAAGGCUUGAGUACAGUUGAGGGAGGCGGAAUUCGUGGUGUAGCGGUGAAAUGCUUAGAUAUCACGAAGAACUCCGAUUGCGAAGGCAGCUUACUAAACUGCCACUGACAUUGAUGCUCGAAAGUGUGGGUAUCAAACAGGAUUAGAUACCCGGGUAGUC
RNAcentral lists this ribosomal RNA (460 nucleotides) under uncultured bacterium. Its description in RNAcentral is "partial 16S ribosomal RNA". It matches the Rfam family "Bacterial small subunit ribosomal RNA", at positions 338 to 795 of the family's 1533-position model. The record is from RNAcentral.